RNAcentral lists this ribosomal RNA (288 nucleotides) under uncultured bacterium. Its description in RNAcentral is "partial 16S ribosomal RNA". It matches the Rfam family "Bacterial small subunit ribosomal RNA", at positions 32 to 295 of the family's 1533-position model. The record is from RNAcentral.
AAUCAACGCUGGCGGCGUGCCUAACACAUGCAAGUCGAACGCGAAAGUCCCGCAAGGGGCAAGUAGAGUGGCAAACGGGUGAGUAACACGUGGGUGACCUGCCUUCGAGUGGGGGAGUAACGUCCCGAAACGGGACGGCUAAUACCGCAUGACAUCCUGCUUUUGGUAAAAGACGGAGAUCAAAGACCGGGGACCGGCAAGACCUGGCGCUCGAAGAGGGGCCCGGCCGCCUGAUUAGCUAGUUGGGAGGUAACGGCUCACCAAGGCUACGAUCAGUAUCCGGCCUGA